Acomys russatus (golden spiny mouse) is the source of this 543-nucleotide long non-coding RNA. RefSeq lists it as uncharacterized. The transcript has 6 exons. The record is from RefSeq and is a predicted model, not a curated record. NCBI's taxonomy places the organism in Eukaryota, Metazoa, Chordata, Mammalia, Rodentia, Muridae.
CAGCCACUAGCUGGGACCCUAGCAAGCAGUCUGUACUAGUUUUAAUCGCUAUUGUCUGUAGGGAUAAAAUAAGGAAGUUGAGUCUACAGAAUGCUUGCUGUAUCCUGAAGGUCAGAAGAACAAGUUCAAGUCAAAGGGUGCAAGGUAAACGCAGUGUGAGGGUCAACCAUACAAGGUAAAUGCAGUGUGAGGGUCAACCAUACAAGGUAAAUGCAGUGUGAGGGUCAACCAUACAAGGUAAAUGCAGUGUGAGGGUCAACCAUACAAGGUAAAUGCAGUGUGAGGGUCAACCAUACAAGGUAAAUGCAGUGUGAGGGUCAACCAUACAAGGUAAAUGCAGUGUGAGGGUCAACCAUACAAGGUAAAUGCAGUGUGAGGGUCAACCAUACAAGGUAAAUGCAGUGUGAGGGUCAACCAUACAAGGUAAAUGCAGUGUGAGGGUUAACCAGGUUCUUUCCUACUGUCUUUCUUUUCCAUACAGAGCCCAGAGUGAGUGGAGGUUGGAAGGGCUGCUCCUGUGUGGAGGUCAGCUGACCUCAGCAG